ACCUGCAUUCGAAAGUGAUCGUGGGCUGCCUGUGCCCUGGUCAUUGAUAGUGCAGGGAGAGCAAAUGCUGAAAGCCUUUCCCCGUGUUUGGAGGACCCAUCCUGUCCUUUUCAAACCCUGGAGCUUUUGUACA
Small nucleolar RNA from Equus asinus (donkey), 133 nucleotides. Its record names the gene SNORA71. It matches the Rfam family "Small nucleolar RNA SNORA71". From Rfam's summary of the family: The members of this family belong to the H/ACA class of snoRNAs which bind a number of proteins (including dyskerin, Gar1p and Nop10p) to form snoRNP complexes. Lineage: Eukaryota; Metazoa; Chordata; Mammalia; Perissodactyla; Equidae. The record is from Ensembl.